RNAcentral lists this unclassified non-coding RNA (338 nucleotides) under Athalia rosae (coleseed sawfly). RNAcentral's name for it is "misc RNA ENSAEAG00005005543.1". The record is from RNAcentral. Lineage: Eukaryota; Metazoa; Arthropoda; Insecta; Hymenoptera; Athaliidae.
AGACCUUUUUUCCCUUUUCAUCUAUUAUAGAUACGUUUCACCGCUGCACUUUGUCCAUAUCUUUUAUUAUUGUUAUCUGUUAUAGCUUAAACACGUCACAUUAAUUACAUUAUAAGCAUUUCACUGUGAUUGGGAUGAGACCGGCUUUGGCUGUCGCCUCGUCGCUGUAUCCUCGGUAGGUUUCUUACUUUAUGUUCAUCUUUUUUCAUAUUUAUCUAGAGAAGAUAAACGACGAUAAAAUUUCAACCCAAAAACAAGACAUAUUCUUAUUAGGAAAUAUAUCAAGAGGUACACCUAAAGCUAGGCUUCAUGAGUUUUAAAGUAAUUAGAAUUAAAUU